This 763-nucleotide ribosomal RNA is filed under the name uncultured bacterium. RNAcentral describes it as "bacterial SSU rRNA". It matches the Rfam family "Bacterial small subunit ribosomal RNA", at positions 626 to 1388 of the family's 1533-position model. The record is from RNAcentral.
UUUGAAACUGGUGAACUAGAGUACUGUAGAGGGGGGUAGAAUUUCAGGUGUAGCGGUGAAAUGCGUAGAGAUCUGAAGGAAUACCAGUGGCGAAGGCGGCCCCCUGGACAGAUACUGACACUCAGAUGCGAAAGCGUGGGGAGCAAACAGGAUUAGAUACCCUGGUAGUCCACGCCGUAAACGAUGUCUACUUGGAGGUUGUGGCCUUGAGCCGUGGCUUUCGGAGCUAACGCGUUAAGUAGACCGCCUGGGGAGUACGGUCGCAAGAUUAAAACUCAAAUGAAUUGACGGGGGCCCGCACAAGCGGUGGAGCAUGUGGUUUAAUUCGAUGCAACGCGAAGAACCUUACCUACUCUUGACAUCCAGAGAAGCCAGCGGAGACGCAGGUGUGCCUUCGGGAGCUCUGAGACAGGUGCUGCAUGGCUGUCGUCAGCUCGUGUUGUGAAAUGUUGGGUUAAGUCCCGCAACGAGCGCAACCCUUAUCCUUGUUUGCCAGCGAGUCAUGUCGGGAACUCCAGGGAGACUGCCGGUGAUAAACCGGAGGAGGGUGGGGACGACGUCAAGUCAUCAUGGCCCUUACGAGUAGGGCUACACACGUGCUACAAUGGCGCAUACAGAGGGCAGCAAGCUAGCGAUAGUGAGCGAAUCCCAAAAAGUGCGUCGUAGUCCGGAUUGGAGUCUGCAACUCGACUCCAUGAAGUCGGAAUCGCUAGUAAUCGUGAAUCAGAAUGUCACGGUGAAUACGUUCCCGGGCCUUGUACAC